AUUGAACGCUGGCGGAAUGCUUUACACAUGCAAGUCGAACGGCAGCACGGACUUCGGUCUGGUGGCGAGUGGCGAACGGGUGAGUAAUGUAUCGGAGCGUGCCCAGUCGUGGGGGAUAACGUAGCGAAAAUUACGCUAAUACCGCAUACGAUCUAUGGAUGAAAGCGGGGGAUCGCAAGACCUCGCGCGAUUGGAGCGGCCGAUAUCAGAUUAGGUAGUUGGUGGGGUAAAGGCCCACCAAGCCAACGAUCUGUAGCUGGUCUGAGAGGACGACCGGCCACACUGGAACUGAGACACGGUCCAGACGCAUACGGGAGGCAGCAGUGGGGAAUUUUGGACAAUGUGCGAAAGCCUGAUCCAGCCAUUCCGCGUGCAGGAUGAAGGCCUUCGGGUUGUAAACUGCUUUUGUACAGAACGAAAAGGUUUCUACUAAUACUAGGAGCUCAUGACGGUACUGUAAGAAUAAGCACCGGCUAACUACGUGCCAGCCGCCGCCGUAA
RNAcentral lists this ribosomal RNA (500 nucleotides) under uncultured bacterium. Its description in RNAcentral is "partial 16S ribosomal RNA". It matches the Rfam family "Bacterial small subunit ribosomal RNA", at positions 30 to 523 of the family's 1533-position model. The record is from RNAcentral.